Molecule: RNA transcript, 8198 nt
Organism: Phasianus colchicus (ring-necked pheasant)
Lineage: Eukaryota; Metazoa; Chordata; Aves; Galliformes; Phasianidae
Source: RefSeq, a predicted model, not a curated record
CUGAUCUGGGUCCCGGGCUUACUGUCUUCUGAGGAAAGCUGCAGGUGGGGGCGAGUCAGCCAUUUCUCAGAGGGCAACGUGGAUGGAAUGCAUUGUUUUGUCAGUGUUACAAAACAAAACAGCCUCCACCAGCUCUGAUUGAAAAAUUCGAAGUCUCUGGGGUCACAAAUGAGCCUUAACGACGCUCCCUGGGGUGGGGAGUGGAGGGCUUCUCCGAUCUGCCCCUUUGACCCGGGGCUUCGGCUUCAGCUCUGCCGCCUCAUUUCCCUCCCGCGCUGCCUGGAGGCUCGUCCUGCUGGCAGGAGGUCGGCUGCACACAGCUGCCUCUCGGGUUGUGGCCUCAGGGUCUGCCUCGUCCCUCAACACGCCUGGGGACGCCGAGGGAGCCCCUCACCCUUCUGGUGCUGCUCAGAAGAAACUACAGGCAAGAAGACUCCAGUAAAGGCAAGGCACAUAGUCAUGAAUAAAGGAAGACUUCAACAGUAACAGCAAAAUCAAAGUUAUGUGCCCUCAUGGUGGCUCCUUUUAGGCUGGUGUCCUCACUAAGAAAUCAGACUUCCCUUGGCUGUACAGCUCCUGGGACUUGCAUGAACACUUGGCUGUUUUGACUCCACUGCUCUUCAGCUGUCCCACUUCUACACUGUUUGUAGAGAAGUGUUGUACCCAAUUUACCUAGCUUGUAUUUUGUGGAUGGCUUUUAACUACAAGCACCUACAACACCAGCCUUUCUACUGCAGCAAUCACAAAUGGACAGAACUGGUGCAAGCCAAAUAUUGUAGCUUCGGAUGCUGAAUGUGGAAACUGAUAGAAACAAGGCUUUGCCAAGUGGUGAAACAUCCUCCCAGGCCAAUACCAGUCUCUUGUGACUGUGUUGUACCUCAGCCUGGACUGUUGACUUUCUGGGCUGGAGAAGCUGGAGGCUUGGUUUCCAGAAUGAAGAGCUGGUGCUGAGAGAUGGGUUCCAGAGAGAAAAGGCCGUCCAAAGAGAAUGUGAAGAUCCUGACUGAAGGAUGUAUCUGGGAAGUGAAGGAAGAUCCUGGAGGUGAGGUAAAUGCAUGGAGAGCAAGGAGAUGUCCAGUGCCAAAUAAUUGUGCCUGAGACCAGAAACUGCAAGCAACAUCAUAGCAGAAUCCAGCAGGAAUUUCUGCCCAACCUGCUCUAGCCAAUGGACCUGCCUGCAGGGAAGCCAAGACCUUGGGAACAUCAUGGGGAAGCUGUAACAGCCGUAGAGAAUAAGCACUGAAAAAAACAAACCCUGCUGAAGUUUUUUGCAGAGGUGGUAUUCUUUGUUUUCCCAAGGAUUCUGGGUGAAACUUAAAGCAAGCUAUGAGAUGAAGAAGGAAGCAGGGAGGGGGAAGUGCUGCUGUUAAUUUGGCAUUCAUUUUAAGGAGCUGAACGGCAGCCAGAAGUAGUGCAGAUGGCAUCUCAAUUCCCUCUUCUUUUGAAGAAAAUGUAUUUUUAAUACAGUAACUUUUUGUUUCCAUUAAGACAUUUUUAGCUGUGGAAUAAGGACAGUUAAAGGCAGUAGUUAAACCGCCAGCUUUUUGAUGACAUUUCUGAAAGCAGUUUAUUUCCCAGAGUGAUAGAUGUAUGAAACAUAUGGUUUCUUCAGAGCCACAACCAAGGAGCUGGGUAGUAAGGAUGCAGGGGGCUAGUUGGCAGAGACCCCUGGAAGGAAGCAAAAGGACACAAAUAUGGUGAUAUUGUGCUUUUGCAUAUGGGUGUGGUGGUGACAGGAGAAUUUGUCUGUAUUGAAUUGUAUCUUCUACUGUUCUGACAAAUCAGAACUCUAAGCUUUUCUAGAUAAACUGCAUCCCAGACACCUGCUCAGUUUUCUGACACCUGAUCAAAUGUCUAUCUGACUGCCAUUAGGACUGCAAAUCUGCAUCAGGUGAAAGCAUACCAUGCUUUAGGUGUGGUAUUUUAUAAAUAAUUGAUUCUUUCAGUAAGGGAAUUUUCCGAGAGUAGCUUUUUCAUGAAUCUAUUUGAGAAGCAUUCUCUUAGGUAAACUUCAAGACAAAGAUAAAAUUUGAACUAAAAUACACAUACCAAACAAGCUACUGUGUGCAUUUGGUUGUCAAUAAGGUAAAGCUCAUAUUUUGGCAAUUUAUUGCAUCUCUAAUGCGAAACUUCAGAUUUAGUAAAAUUUUGAAAGCAUUCCCAUGGGGAGUGAUUAGCACUGCCAUAGUAUAACUUGUGAUUGAUAGCAGUAUGAAUCAGGAAAUGCCUCUUAAAAGACUUUAUAAGAGAAGCUAUCUCUUGAAAUCAACAGUUAGUGUUUUGUUAUUAUUUGUGUAUCUCCACAACUAAAGAAUCUAAAGCUUGAUUUUUACAGAAAACCAUUCAAUUGAUAUUGGAGCCGUUGCUUCUACUUCCUUUUGAGAGACAAAAUUCUGAGAUUUUACCAUUAAAUAAGUGAAAGAAUGACUAAAAGGACAUGACAACUGGAAACGUUAGUUAUUCAAACAUUUUAUUCCCAGAACUAUUAAAUAAAUAAUUAGAUAAAUAAAUGAAAGUAUCUGAUAAUGCAGAAGGUUUAUUACUCAAACAUCUUUUCAGAACUAUCUGUUGAUGAGCUCUCAACUCAUGCACCUGUAACUGGUGCUGCUGUCCCCGCUGCCUGCAGUGGGUCCCACCUGGGGUGCCGGCCCAUCCCUGCAUGUGCCCGGUGAGAGCUGCAGGUGCCAUUGGGGCAGGACUGGGCUGCCCCUGCAUGGCUGCUGCAAGGGCUGAGGUGAGGAGGGCCUGAGGAGCUGCCGCUCUGCUGCCUGUGGGUGCCGGGGAAGCUCCUGCUGUGCUGGGCCAGUUGUAAAUUUGGGACUUGUGUGAGAUGGAGGAGCAGAAGUGGCAGCCGAGGUCUGGCUGCUGCUCAGUGACAGCAGGGAGGGGGCCAGAGGCUGGCACGUUUCCCUCUGUGCUGCUGCAGCAGGGCUGGCAGGGCUGGAGCAGCACUGGUUUGGAUGGUGGCUUUCUUAGGGCGCUUGAGUGGUGGGGCCCCAUGGGUGCCACUGUCUCUGUGCCUUCUUCCUUUGGUGCUGCCAGCAGGCUCCUGCAUUGCCCAGCAGCUGCUCCCUGCAUGAGCUGGGCACCUGGUCUGCUCCUCAGAUGGCUCUCGUUCAGGUCUCCCUGCAGGGCAGGGGCAGCCACCUCUGUCUCCUCAGAGCAACUCUUUGCUGUCAGUGUUCAGGCAAUUAUGGAUCAUCUCUCUAGAAAUGUGGGUGAGAGUAGAAGAGGGACUGAAAAAUGCAGAGGAGAAGAGUUAGUCGCUGUCUGGAACUGAAAGAUGGUGAAAUACAGGAAGUAAGACCUAAUUGCUGAAGGCAAAGAUAGGUAGUAAAAAGGUCUGUCGGUCAGAUUCAUCUCAGAGCUUAGGUUAAGUCAAACAAGAUAUGUUGCAAAUACAUUGAAAUAAAUAGACUCAUCAUAUCCUGAUUUAUCUUUCUUUUCUAUGUGUUCAAAUUGGGAUAUAACUCAAAUCUAUUUUAUCAAUAUUUCUGCUAUUCAGCAAUGCAACCUCUCAAAUACCUAGAAACAGACAGAAAAAGAUGUAAAGAUGAGAACAGACUGACAUCGACCUCUCUUCUAUUACCAAGGCUUAUUUUCUUGAAACUUUCAUCCCACCCACCAGAAUCUUGUGAGAGUUGGUUUACGUGUGGAGCAACUGAUGUACCUUCCUGUGAGCAGCAAAUGCUUCUUCCUCUGCCAGAAGCUCAGGAAUGGAAUGAGCUCUUGUGCAGUCAUGGUGUAUUCUGGUGAAUCUUCACGGAUUAAGUUUGUGAAUGGAGAUUUUCAUGUUUUCAGUCUGAAAAUCUCUCACAGGUCCUUUCCUUCCCAGUACUUGGAGCUUAAACAUUUCUUCAUCAAUGACAACACAGUUUCCACCAUGAUCCCACCAAAUCAUCUUAAAUUGGUCACUUUCAAUUGAUGGCCAGAGUUUCUGUGGAAAGCUGAGGGCUGAGGAGACACUGGCUUUGCUCUCCUCAGAAGAAAUGUGAGGGAAACAUUUGGUUUCCUCUUCAUCAGAAGUUAGUGAAUCCUUUUCUUCCUUUAUCCAUGCUAGAGCAGCAUCCUAUAUUGUUCCUCAUUCAUCCUGUCCUGGAGGAUGAGAAGAAGGAGAGUCUGAGGACUCAGCCAACUUCUUCAGAUUCAGGUGGCUCAAAUUUAAUUUCUCUUGUCUCAGUUUGACUGAAGUUUUCAUGUAGAGGCAUUUCUGCGGUAAGGCAGUUUUCACCCUGCAGGUCAGCAAGCAAAGUCUAUGAGAACUGUCAGGGGAUUCCAUUGGGAGAUUGUCAGACAUCACUGUAACAGCCACGUGUCAUCACAGUGACAUCGCUGUGUGGUACCCAGGGCCUGGUUGGCUGGCGCAGCCAGAGCAGAUGUCACUGACCAGCACUUGUGACUGCACAGAGCCACGGGUGUUUAAACGUGAGUAGAGAAGCAAAGAGAGAUGUAUUGAAAGGGGUUCAGUUGUUACCUAGACCUUGCUUCCCCUUCCCUGUGUAGUCCCUGAAUAGCUCGCUUCUGGCCUCCUUGGUGUCCCUCUGGUUCUCCAGAUGGGACUGGGGGGAAAUCAGCUUCUCAAGCAACACUAACAAAAGAAAAUAGCAAUCUCUUCCCAGUUUGUAACCACUUCUUGGAAAUGCUCCAUGGCUUCUGCAAGGCAGUAGCUGUAUGCCCAGGUGGUGCUCUACAAUGUCAGCAGUCUCCCAGAGGCUGCUCUGUAGGUCCAACUAGGAGAAGGCAGUAAGUACAUUUUGCUGAUAGUACAGACAACCCCUCUUUGGUUCCUAUGCUUUUAUUCGGUAUUUUGUAUAUUUGAUAUUCAGAAAGCAAGCUAAUGAAAUCUGUGAUGUUAUUUAAGCCUUUCAAAUUACACUCCUCUCUACAGGAGCAAGGGCUUCAUAUGUAAAGGAAAGGCUUGGUCUGGAGAUGGUGUAUGUUUGCAGGCCUUGAGUGUAUGCUAAGUCUGAGGACAUCACUAAAUUGGAGAAGCUGUUGACUCCCUUAAGGGCAGAGAGGCUUUGCAGAGCAAUCUUGACAUAUGUGAUGGCUGGGCAGUCACCAAGUGCAUGAAGUUGAACAAGAGCUAGUGCCGAAAUCUGCCCCACAGUGGGCAACCCAGGAUGUAUGCACAAACUAGGGGACAAGAGGCAAGAGAGCUGCCCCACAGAAAGGGAUCUGGGGGUUCUGGGUGAUGGCAAGUUGAAUCUGAGUCAGCAUUGUGCCAUGACAGCCCAAAGGGCCACCUGUAUCUGGAGGUGGUCAAUCAAGCCCACACUGACAGGUGAGGGAAGGGGUUGUCCUGCUGUGCUCUGUGCUGUGUGGCCUCACCUCCAGCACUGGGUGUUGUUUUGGGCACCACAGUCUAAGGACAUAAAAAUGUUCGAGAACUUCCAAAGGAUGGCUAUGAAGAUGUGAUUAUUCUUGCUCAGGUAGUCUGACUCUGUUUUGAAGAGGAAAUUUAGUUAUAAUGUGUUUGUUUUAUGAAGCUAGUUCUCAGCUAGUGUUUUCCAAACCACAGGUUGUAAAGCUAACACAAGGAAAAAUGUUCAUAUUAUAUUGUAUAUAUAUUGUAUAUAUACUGUAUGUAUAUUGUAUAACAUACAAACCUGACUAGCUGAGAUUUCAGCUUCUGUCCUCUUUUGCAGUGAUAGCAGUAGCUAAUACUCUUCUGAAUGCCUUAGAAUCUCUUAUCCCUUUUGAAUUAAAAUUCACAAUGUGUUUUUUUGCUAAUUAAUUUGGAGAUAGGGUUGGGAAAAUAUUUUCAUGUGGCUGGGGAGAGCUACUGGUGUCUGCCACUGCUAAGGCGGGAGGCUUUUUCUCUCAUUCUUUUUAGGAAUAGGCUUAAGGCAGUUCAAAAGGGAGAGUGAAGCUCUGAAUUCUCUGAUGGAGACUUGUUUUGCAGCCAGAUUGCUAUGACAGAAAAUGCUUUGCUCCAGCACUCAUGUAGCUUUGUCUGGGCUUUGUGAUCAGCAUCAUCCCAAAGAAGCAAAACUGUUUAGGAAAUUUAUAGAUAGCAAUUUGGUCUCCAGUGUAGCAAAGGCUCAUCUGUUAAUUGCUUUGAAGAUUAAAGUCAAGACCUUGAACUGGCAUCUGAAACUGACUUUAGAGAUAAGCCCUAGCCGUGAACUUCUGUCAUCUCCUUUGCAAAGCCUUUGGUAUUUAGAGGAUAAUAGAUAAGCAGGAUAUCCAGGACAGCAUCUAACUGAUGUAAAGGAUUUGUUUUAUGGGAACCUAAAUUGUUUCAGGGCUAAAACCAGUCCUCUCUAGGUCUGUUUUCCAGAGAUCUUUCCAGAGAAGAUGUAACCUAAGAAAGAGUGAAAGUAAGGCCAAGUAGACACACAAAAGUGACAGCAAGUCAAAUAUUGAUAAUAUCUGCCAUGUAAAUAAUAGGCACUUGAGGUUGCUAAUUGAAUUGAUAUGUAGUUUUAAUUUAAGAUGAAUAAAAAGAAACACUUUCCUAGAUAUGGUGUUGUGUUUUUUUGUCCUUUUUUUUUUUUGAUGGGAGAAUUCUUUUUUUGGUCUUCUGAUCCUCCAGUACCUUUCUUUCUCUUCUUCCUCACUACACAAACCCAAUUUGGAUUAAAUUGCCAUUUUUUGCAUAAUGAAGUGAAACAUCAUAUUCUGAGAUUGUUUAAACAUUUUUUCUUUACUCUUUUUUUUUUUUUCAAGGCAGUUUUCACUGAGGGAUGUUUCUCUUUUUCUGUGUUAAGAAUGCUGUAGGAAAAUGCUUAUGGCAAGUUAAAGAAUUUGUUCUGAGAUGCUUAGGAAUAAGUGAAUUCCCUAGUUUUGGUUCCGUCACUCAAUGUCAUUUUUAUCAAAAGGAUCUCUGUUAGUCAAAUAUGAUACAAGCAAAUAGAGAUGUUUUCUCAGAGAUCCUCUGCUGUGCUGGGACUAGAGUCUGAUUUAAAUACAAUUUUGAGAGCUCUCUUUUGAUGGCAUUUGUUUUUGUGGUGUUUGGGAGCAGUGCCAAAUAGGUGUUGCACGUGGCCAACUACAAGGACAAAAUCACAGACACUCCACACACUGCAGAACUUAUAGCACACAGUUAAAUGGAAAAAACUUGUGAUGUGUAACUAGUAUGGUAACAGCAGUGCUGCUGUUAAAAUUUCUUUUUCUCCAGGAGAUUAAAAAUAACAGAUUUAAUUAGGAGAGGAUAAACAUCAGAGGGAAAAGAACGUAUGCCAUUGAACAUGAAGGAUGAGGAGUGGGGAAUUUAUGAGUAAUUGGUGAAAUCUAAAAUGGGAAUGAAUUGAAGGUGCUACAUGGCAGGUAACAGGAGGCAGUCUGAACAAACCACUGUCAGUGAGAAGUCUGGAAAUAAAAAGAGCUCUUGUAUGUUGUUAUACCAAAGAACAGACCUGCUCUACUUUGGUUUCUUCUGUCUGUUUCUAUCUGAACUCAGGUUGUCCUUCUUGAAGUUAUUUUCUGUUAACACUAUUGAGGUUGUUCAGUGAUACAGUUUACCUGUUCUUAUGGGCUCAGAUAAUACAGGUUGUUCUCUCAUGCUGCCAGGCCUGGAACAUCAAGCAGUGGUGUUAGCCUUCUUGGUGGGUGACUAAUGUAUCCAGCAGCAUUUCUGAGCUCAGGAAAGCAGAGCCCAAAGAAAAACACUUCAGGCAUCUACAGGUCCUUCCAAGCUGCAGCAGAGAGAGGAGAAGUGGGAAAUAGAAAUAGGGCCUCUGAGUUCUGUUCCAGGAGAUGGGAGGUGAGUGCUCAGCUACAGUGGAGCUUGCAAAAAAUGAUGUUGGGAUAGAUGAGUGUGCCCCUUUUGCUCAGUGAGCUUUUUUCUUUCUUUUAUCCCUCCCUGCCCCCCUCAUCUCCACAGUUUAUUGUGAUAUAUAAAGUGGAUGUUGUUCUCUACCUCAUCCCAGCCCUGCAGCUGGUGCUCUAUUUUGAGAAGGAAGAUGAUGAAAAGAGGAUACUAUGAUUUGGUUUGAAUUGCAGCCACUCUUACCAGCUCAGCUGUGGCUCUCCAACACAGGCAUGGUGCUUUCCUUCUCAGUUUUUUAUUAGAAGUAAAUAUACUACUUGUAUAGGUAACGGCUAUCCUGUGAUGUGUGAGCCAAGCACAAAAGGGAUUCUGGUAUAACCUCAGGGAGCUGCAGAUAACUUAAUUUUACUGUUUGUUGUCUUUGUAGCAGUGGCUGGCUACCAAGUACUUGGGUAAAUUGUUUAUUUGAAGAGAAAUACAGGAA